This is a long non-coding RNA of Dicentrarchus labrax (European seabass), 1388 nucleotides long. RefSeq lists it as uncharacterized. NCBI's taxonomy places the organism in Eukaryota, Metazoa, Chordata, Actinopteri, Moronidae. The transcript is spliced from 2 exons. The record is from RefSeq and is a predicted model, not a curated record.
CCUCUACCGCUAACUCCCUCCCUCCUUCCCUCCCCCUCCUUCCCUCCUUCCUGCCCACUGGCCGCUCGUGCACGGGCGGGCGGGUAUGAAGGUAACUACGGCAACGGUAGUAGGUGGGUAUAGUUGUGAGUGUCGCGCGCAGAACCCGAACGGGGCGGGCGGGCGCGCGCUCGGAAUCACCGUCACCUCGCGCUCGUUUGUUUCAGCAGCACGCGCUGAUCCGGCUCACUGACGUCACAACAGACCAGGUCCAGGUCCAGGACCAGGACCAAAUCUAUGGAAGCUCAUUUCUGCCAAUGUGACGUAACAAAAAAAGGAUUCGGUACGUGAUUAUAUUCCUUAAUAUGUCAUAUUUUCCAGUUGUUUAAUUUAUUCUUCUGAUUCUUCUUUCAAACAGAAAACACUGUUCAACCUCCUGAGUCCUUCCUCACCUUCCUCACCUGUAGAGCCAGUUUGUUCAUUUUAACUUUAAACUCGAUGAAAACUGUAAAUGAAGCUUCCUGAUAGUUUCUUAAUCUCCUGUUUGUUAAACAGUAAAGCAGAAAUUUAAAGAGAUGUUUAAUUGAUCUUAACUUAUACGAUUCAUUAAACACUUAAUAAAUGAAACCUGAUGAAUGUGUUUAACAGGUAAUUAUUUUUAUUUUAGUAAAACAAUGAACACAUUAUAAAUUCUUUAUAAAUAAACGUUUGAGUCUGCAAAUAAACUCUGAAGAUAAUUUAUGAAAAGCUUCACAUUUAUAUUUUGUCACAAUUAUAAAAAUUUUAUUGAGAAAUCCUUUAAUUGACAGAAAUUAUUUAUUUCAGACGCUGCUCUUCUCUUCUCGUCCACCAGGGGUCCUCGGCGUGAUCCUGAAACCCCGAAACACUGAAAUCGACUUUUGUUGUCUUUUUAAAGACUUAUAAUCUAAUAAUAGUGUAUCUAUAGUGGUUUCUGAUCUGGACCUGGUCCAAUGUGGUCCAGAUGUUAAUAAGUCAAAUAAAGAGAGUAAAAUCUUUUGUGUCCCUGAUGAUUAAGACUUUUUAUUUAUAGAACAAUAAAUAAUAAAUAUUACAGGAGAAACAUUAAUGGAAGAUUUAGAGGAAUAAUUCGGCUGCGUUCUCACUUCAGGUAAAACACAUUUUUUAUUUAUUCAAAUGUGAAGUCAAACACUCACUGGAUGUUUUCCGAGCAUUUCACAGCCACCGUAGAUCCUUUUAUUCCUUUAUUCAGACUUAAUGUUUGAUUAUUGUGCUUUAGUUUAAUUAACCCUCAUACAGUAAUAUAUAUAUAUAUAUAUAUAUCUCGAUAGAGAGAGAGAAUUCAUAUUAUAACCCAGAAUAAAACCACUGCAGCAGUUAUAUUGUGUUUGUGAUGGUUAUAAACAAUAAAAUCAGACAGUAAAAUGAGA